Molecule: transfer RNA, 59 nt
Filed under: Columbicola passerinae
Lineage: Eukaryota; Metazoa; Arthropoda; Insecta; Psocodea; Philopteridae
Description: tRNA-Trp
Source: RNAcentral
AAAAUAGUAAGAUAACAUAAUCUCUCUCUCUUCAAAAGAGAAAAUGGAACUCUCUCCCU